CCUACGGGAGGCAGCAGUGAGGAAUAUUGGUCAAUGGACGAGAGUCUGAACCAGCCAAGUAGCGUGAAGGAUGACUGCCCUAUUGGUUGUAAACUUCUUUUAUAUGGGAAUAAAAUGUUCCACGUGUGGGAUUUUGUAUGUACCAUAUGAAUAAGGAUCGGCUAACUCCGUGCCAGCAGCCGCGGUAAUACGGAGGAUCCGAGCGUUAUCCGGAUUUAUUGGGUUUAAAGGGAGCGUAGGUGGAUUGUUAAGUCAGUUGUGAAAGUUUGCGGCUCAACCGUAAAUUUGCAGUUGAAACUGGCAGUCUUGAGUACAGUAGAGGUGGGCGGAAUUCGUGGUGUAGCGGUGAAAUGCUUAGAUAUCACGAAGAACUCCGAUUGCGAAGGCAGUUCACUGGACUGCAACUGACACUGAGGCUCGAAAGUGUGGGUAUCAAACAGGAUUAGAUACCCCAGUAGUC
RNAcentral lists this ribosomal RNA (460 nucleotides) under uncultured bacterium. Its description in RNAcentral is "partial 16S ribosomal RNA". It matches the Rfam family "Bacterial small subunit ribosomal RNA", at positions 338 to 795 of the family's 1533-position model. The record is from RNAcentral.